UUGCUUGAGCCCUCGUUUUCAACUUUUUUUUUUUUUUUUUUUUUUUUUUUCCGGGGGAAUUUUUUUCAAAAA
Molecule: non-coding RNA, 72 nt
Filed under: Stygamoeba regulata
Lineage: Eukaryota; Discosea; Stygamoebida
Source: RNAcentral